CCUACGGGAGGCAGCAGUAAGGAAUAUUGGUCAAUGGAGGCAACUCUGAACCAGCCAUGCCGCGUGCAGGAAGACAGCCCUCUGGGUCGUAAACUGCUUUUAUUCGGGAAUAAACCUCAUUAUGUAUAGUGAGCUGAAUGUACCGAAGGAAUAAGGAUCGGCUAACUCCGUGCCAGCAGUCGCGGUAAUACGGAGGAUCCAAGCGUUAUCCGGAUUUAUUGGGUUUAAAGGGUGCGUAGGCGGCUUUUUAAGUCAGGGGUGAAAGACGGUAGCUCAACUAUCGCAGUGCCCUUGAUACUGAAGAGCUUGAAUGGACUAGAGGUAGGCGGAAUGUGACAAGUAGCGGUGAAAUGCAUAGAUAUGUCACAGAACACCGAUUGCGAAGGCAGCUUACUAUGGUUUUAUUGACGCUGAGGCACGAAAGCGUGGGGAUCAAACAGGAUUAGAUACCCUGGUAGUCCACGCCCUAAACGAUGAAUACUCGCUGUUAGCGAUACACAGUUAGCGGCUAAGCGAAAGCGUUAAGUAUUCCACCUGGGGAGUACGGUCGCAAGAUAGAACGUUAAAGAUUGACGNGNGAGAGNGCGAGACGACGACGAGGGAGGAGG
This 608-nucleotide ribosomal RNA is filed under the name uncultured bacterium. Its description in RNAcentral is "bacterial SSU rRNA". It matches the Rfam family "Bacterial small subunit ribosomal RNA", at positions 338 to 948 of the family's 1533-position model. The record is from RNAcentral.